UCCACAUACACAGAAAUGCCUCUGCUGUCCUCCCCAACCACUCAGUUAUUUACUAGUUCAUUAAUUGCGAUGCUUAUUAUUCCCAGUGAAAGAAUAUGAGUUACUGUUGAAGGAUCCCUGUGUCAACAAACCUUAUGCAAGAGGAGAGGAUAAGUGUAGCGAUUCCCCUUGAAUCUCCAGUUAUUUUUAAGGCACAGUUCUAAGAAAGUAUCAGCAAGGCAACAUUAGCAAUGACAAAUCUAUACUGGUGGUAUAGCUCCCUCCUAGGCUGAUUUCAGGACUGGAGAAGGCAUGGAGACAGCUGAAGUCGUGCUGGUGAAAGGUUUCCACUUGGCCUCAAGAAGCUGUGAAAGGCAGUCAUUUUUUUAUACAGUUCAGCUAUAAGAUGAUAUUAUAAUGUGGAUAAGGAAACAUCAUGGAGCUAUGAUUGCCAUCACAGAGCUAAAUAAAUACCCACCAGCACCACUGGAAAAACAACAGCAGUUAAUGAAUUAAAAAAUAAACUCCUUCAGUUAUCAUGAGAGAGGAAAAGAUAGGCAUCUGGAAAGCAGCAGUGCUGAAGCCUCUAUCUGCAGAAAAGAGAGAUACCUAAAGGUGCUUGCAUGUCAGUCCUCUACAACUGGGUUCCUGGAGGGGAUUGAUGUCCACAGCUCAGGAAAAACUUGAGCAGCAGCAAAGACAGAUAACAGAUUCAAAACAUGCAUCAGGACAAGCAGUGGUAUCAAGAAACACAGAGAGAACAGUAAUUAACCAGUGUGUCUCCCUUACUCUAGAAGUCCAAAGAACCACCUGAUAUCUUUGGAUGAUUCAUAUGACCAAAGUUUCAAGCCUAACAUACAGAUGCAAGUCAAAGACAUUAUUUUAAAAUCUUGGGUAAAACUGUUAAAGCCCAGUGUGUCCAUCUCAGUGGUGGAUCCUGAACCCUUUCUUUAGAUAAGAAAUAGAUAAAGUCAUUGUACUUAAUUUCCUCCAGAGUGACUUGGUGACUGGGCAUUUACCAUGUUAAUUAGUAGCAGCUAUGGAGCUCUUCAGAUUUGUCUCUGCCCCCUGUCCAAAUCCUUCUUCCCUUAGUUUUGCUCACUGAAUCUACAUUCAGGCAUUAAUUUCUGUGUAUCAUACCAGUGAAGAUCAGUUUUACAGGAUGACAAUGACAGGCAGCCACUGAAGCCUUAAAACACAAGUGCUGUAUCAAAGAAAACCUUAGCCAAACUGACAAGAGCUAUUUUAAAAUAAUAAACUUUUCCUUACUGCUGGACAGUUUUGAAAUAAAAUUUGCAGAUGUGAACUCUGCCAAGCUCAGUGGUAGGGAAAGAUGCAGUGGGAAUACAGUUUUAAAUCUGUCAUUUAACCAUAAGACUGGAGACCUAAGCCAGGAUUGUUCCCACUUAGUCUUUAUGUUUGACUCAGCUAAAGACCUAAGUGAAGAGCUUUGUCACCCUGCACUCCUUGGCACACAACUAGAGAUAGACAGGCCUUCAGACAGUAGCAUCAACUUUAUUUUGGAAACUGCAUUCUUAUUUAAACACAAGCUAAUUGGAUAGCUUCACUGAGUGAAGCUAUGGCAACGUGGGAUUUUUUACUGUUUCUCUGAAUCCUAAAACUAGCCAAAAUUGGGAAAAGUAUACCUUCCCUUAAAAAAUAGGUGAAAUUUUAUGACUGUGACUUCUUUUUCCCUAGAUUUUUUUAGUGGGUCAGAGUAAGAUUGAAAUGAAACCAAUAUAAAGUACAAGUAGUCUCCUGAAUCCUAAGGCUUAAAAUAUACAUUUCCAUUUAUAGAAUCAGUUUAAUAAACAUCCUUUUCAAAUGCUCAAUUCCCAUUAUAUCUUAUCAAAGGAGAAAUGGUUAAAGAAAAUGAUACAUCAGGGCUUGACUUUUUCUUUUUUUUCCCAGGAAGAAGUAUUAGGAUCAUAUGUAAGAUGCUUUAUUUAGAAUCUGAAAAUUUAUUUUAUGUUUUUCUGUUGACAACCAGAAGCACUAGGUAAGAAAAAAAUAGCAGAACAAAGACCUCCCUUGAGAUAUUUCAUGUUUUCUGACUUACUACAUCAUCAUAUAUGACACUGAAUUAUUAGUUCAGCAAAUACUGAAAUAGCAUAAGAAAGCUUUCUUGCUCUUUUAUCUUCACCAUUGUUCUUGGAUUUAAGCAAGUCACAUAAAAACUUCUGGGAAAAAACUAAAAAUAUUGAAAAAUCAUAAUUUAGAGUGGUGUUUGUUAUACAGGAUGCCUCCUUUAUCAUACUGAGGUAGAAGGCUGGGAGUGUAGUUUCCUUUAGCUCAGAGGACAAUUUGGAUAGAAAAUAUGACCCAUCAGGUCUUUGGGAAGUUUUAUCGGGAUUCUUCCUUUUUCUCUUCAUCUGCAGAAGUGACUCUGCCCAUGCAGAAAGAUGGAAAUGGGGCCCUGAUUUGUAUCAGGCUGAACUCUGCUGUUGUCAAAAAAGCCCACGCACACUACAGCACAUUUUCCAAUCACGUCACAAGUUAGCUCUUUUCAGAUUCCUUAUAAAAAUACAAAUAUUAGUGACUAUUAAAAUUCAGGCCAUCAUGUGCUGCAUUGUCUGUGUGGGGACACAAAGCAGAGGUGAGCAGCUUGCCCUGCCUCUGCCACCUGCACUUUGUGGUCCCGCUGACACAUGGAUGACCUCUCCUCACCAACCCCUGCCUGCGUGGGCUUGUUUGAUUCCUGUGGCCUUGACCUCAGCCAUAAAUUUUUAAAGUGACACUGUGUUCUUUACUGCAGGAAUGGUGAAAGGUAAAUGUCUGGGUGUAUUAUGAUUCUCAUGACAUUCUGACUGGGAAUAGAAGUACAGUAAUUCACCAAAAAAUCUAACCAUAACAACUCCAGACUCAGCUGUGUGUAGGAAGCUGUAGUUUAGUAUCAUAUAUCUUGAUGCAAUAAUAAAUAAAAUUAUAAUGCUGUGCAUUACCAUAGAUACUGAAAAAUUCUGAACUGAGAGUUGUUAUUUAUUAGUGCUGAAACUUUGAAAUCAUUAACACCAAGCUGAGGUAUGAUUGCCUUUUUUCAGAACUAAUUCUCAAAAAUAGCUGUGCUAAUUCUUGUUCUUUAGGAAAGGAUACUUGAUUUUUCUCACCAAGAAACCAUAGCCAAAAUUCUAAUUUACAAAUAUUUCAGCGAGAUUAGAUUGUUUUAUUGCAAGCUUUGACUUUCAUAUGCACUGGUGUAGUUUCUUUAAAAUGCUGUGUGUGACAGCAAGAGAAAAGAAGAAGACGAAAUGAAGCAAAUGGAUCAGUACAUUAAACAAUGUCAUAAACUGAAAGGAAAGGUUCAAGAAUGAUCAGGAAUAUAUAUGUUGCAAUUUAAAAUAAGAAUAAUUAGGAUGGAUUUAUUUUAAAUUCAUGGUACAAUUUACUGUGCUCAUCUCAGACACUCCCUUCCCUUUCUUUUCUUCCCAUACCCAUUGAAAGAUUUAAACACCUUACUUGUAAGUAAUAAGCAUUGAUUCAGCAUCCCUCAUGAAAUGAUGCAUGAUUUUACUCCAUCACAGAUAAUUUCAGAAACAUUUUGCUGCCUGCUUUUAUCUGCACUCUACUUGUGGAGAGGAUUUGAAAAGGUUUGCGUAGUUGCCUGCUCUGCAGUAAUGUGAGGAUUUUGCUAUCCCGCUGAGCUACCAUCAUUCAGGUAGCUUGGACUCCUUCCUUCUGCAGCCAAAAUCUCACAAAACCUCUCCCUGAAACACAAAGGUACAGAAGAGAAAGGGCAAAUGAUUCACCAAACCUUUUAAGAGGCUAUAUAUAUUCCUCCUAAACACAAUUAGUGCUUUUCUUAGCCCCAUCUGAUCACCUUGUUGUCUUCUGCUUGUGCAACUACUUAAACAGUUUUUAGACAGAGAUCUUCAGCUACUUCUGAUAUCAGAUCCAGUCCUGCCUCCAGCCAAAGACAUCAGACCGGUCCUACUGACUUAAACACAAAUGGGAUUAAGUAUUGUAUCUCGUUAGCCCCAGCAAAAUACUGACAUCUCAGUUGGGUUCGCACAUCUACAGACCUGGUCAGAGCACGGCAUCCCAAUUUCAGGUCAAGUUCACAACUCCCCAGCUGCAGGAUGUUCUCCUCCUUGCGUGUGCCAGCUGCGAUUGCUGACAUACCAGCUUGCAUUUGCAGGAGACACCCUCAGACUCACAGACAUACUUGCACCCUCUGAUAGUCUCAUUCAUUAUGACAGGGAAAUAGAAAACCUAGUGCAGUACAGACAACACUGACAUUCAUCUAAUACAAUUUCCCUUUUUGUUUCCUGUAUCUCAGUCUUUCCUCAAGCCUCUGUGCUAAAAACCCACCCAAUAAUUGAGGAAAUCAAUGCCAAACAGCUGGCAGAGGGAUUUGGGUGUCCAGUCCCUUAUGGAUAUCCGUGAGGCAAUCACAGUGACUCGAACCCCAGCACUGUGCUUGUUGCAGAGCCAGGACGGUCUCUCUCAGAUGCUCAUGCAUCGGGGUUCCCAUGGGGGUGUUGAGAUCCUUGCCUGGGGCUGCCAGCUGCUGGGUGCAGCUGCCCAGAGCCCUCAGCGAGACCCUGCUGGCUGCUGCCCCCUCGAAAGGACAUGGUCCCGUGGCAGAGUCCUGGCAGAGUCCCUGGCAGGGGUACCAGUGCCUCUAAGAAACAUCAAUGCCUGUAAGGGGCAUCAGUGCCUAUCAGGAGCAUCGCUGCCAGCAGGAAUGUCAGUCACCGCAAGAGUGCCACACUUCAGCUGCGGUACCAGCCUCGCAGGAGCAGCGGGCUGUACAGGGGACAGCGAUCCCUACGAUGGGAUCAGCCCCUGUUUGAGGUACCGGUCCCUAUUUGAGGUCUCGGUCCCUGGCAGGGGUGUCGGUCCCUGCGGUGUCUGUCCCUGGCAGGGGGGUGUCGGUCCCUGCGGUGUCGGUCCCAGGCACGGUGUCGGUCUGGCUGAGGACAGUCGCGAGUGAUCCAUGCAAAUUCCAGCCCGAGUGCAAUCAAUAGAUGUGACAAGCAGCCGGCGCCGGCAGCCGGGGACAUAAUGAAGGUGUGAGUGUGUAACCGGCGAACAGAUAACAAUGCUAUAGGAAAUUAUAGGGCAGCGCUGUAUUGAAUAAGUGCAGUGCAAAAUGAGCCGCGGCUCGCAGGUCAUGCUUCCCCGCUGCUGGAGAGUCUCCUGCUCUUGUCCUUUGUAAUUGUAAGUGGCAGCAGCGGCGGCUGCAGCGAGGAGGGCGCGUAUCCAGCCCUCAUUUGUUCCGCAUUACAAUGCAGCCCUCGCCGCCAGCGGCUGAUCCGGAGUGUCAGUGCCCACCUCCCAAGUGGACCAAGAAAACAGUGAAAACUCAAUUUACUUGGGAAUGAGGAAGGCUGUCGUUAAAACAGGGCUGUCCUUGGAACCACGCGGAAGAGCGGAGAGUGUCCUGUAAGAAAUGCGGUGAAACUUCUCUGUUUUCCUUUAAGAAAACCCAUGCUUUCCCCUCAAAGAAACACAAAAACAAAAAGCCUUUUCUUUCAGGAAACAAAAAACAGUACACAGAAAGUUGAAAAUCCUCUAAUUUUCUUAUUUUCAUGUUAAAAAAUACUUAUAUUAAUUUUUUUUUAAACUUGGGAAAAAGCUUUUGACCACAUAGAGUCUUAAUACAGACAGUUCUCCAGAUGCUACUAUUCCUCUUACCUGCUUAUUAAUAUUCAAGGGGAGAAGAAUGUCUAAAAAGUGUUCAUUGAUUUUUAAUUUCAUUUCCAAGUCCAAUAUGAAGUCCUUCUCUGCAUUUUGUUCUGACAUUUGGAUCAAAUCAGCAGUUGUUUUCUGAAACCUCAGGUCUUUGAGACUCUUGGCUCAGAAUCCCAUUUAAAGGUUUACAGAUUAAGUUUAACAUUUGAACCUAAUCAAAGACAAGGAGGUAACUCAAAGUGCUCUGCACAGUUCACUGGUAUUUCACCAUCACUGAUCGAUACUUUCAGCUAUUUAUGAACACUGCAUACAUCCCUUCCCCCCUCUUCAUAAUACCUGGCAAUUUUAUUUAUGUUUUUCUUCACCUUAGCCCUGAAAUGUACAUUUUUAUGGUUGAAGUAAAAGCUAUACUAAAC
This 6029-nucleotide long non-coding RNA is filed under the name Taeniopygia guttata (zebra finch). Its description in RNAcentral is "lncRNA (ENSTGUG00000023757.1)". The record is from RNAcentral. Lineage: Eukaryota; Metazoa; Chordata; Aves; Passeriformes; Estrildidae.